Molecule: non-coding RNA, 27 nt
Filed under: Cricetulus griseus (Chinese hamster)
Lineage: Eukaryota; Metazoa; Chordata; Mammalia; Rodentia; Cricetidae
Source: RNAcentral
UAUUGUUGAGCAUGUUGGCAUUGUCCC